UUAUUUUUAUAACGUAACAAUAAAUUUAAAACUAUUUAAUAACAUUACUUUGAAGAAUUGAUAUCUGGCUUUCUUCAUUUGAUGGAUAUUUGUUAUAAAUAAGAAAGAAAAUGAAUGUGGGUAUUUUUAUUUAAUCAUUAAAUAGGUAUACAAACAUCAGAAAUGACACUUGCUAAAAAACAAAAAAAUAAAUAAAUAAAUGUUGACAAUGACGUACAGACACAUGACGUCACGAUGAUAUAUUUAGACCAAUGAAUGGAUCCGGUUUUCUCGAUAUGAAUCUCUGAAGCAAACUAUUGAAAGACUUUUCCGUAUGUUCGUCUUAUUUUAUUUUUAAAAUUGAAUCUUAGUUUAUACAACUAAAUAUCAAAAUAGAUAUAUAAAAUAAUUACUUAGCACUCUUAUAUACACUUAUAUACAGUUGAUUGAAGCAUCUAUGACUCAUCAUUUUAAUUCCUAUGUAUGUUUUUUUCCCCUCUCCUAUUUACUCACGCGUGACACGUUGACCGAUCGAUAGUAUAUAUCUGUUACUCUUUACGCUAUUAUAACUUAAUCCUAUCAGGAAAGAAAAGUUUCGCUCUAUAUGUAGACACGUAAAAAAAAAUGUAUAAAAUCUUGUAUUUUUAUAAUUUUUUAUUAAUUUUAUCGAAUUGAAAUUAAUCGUAAGAGGGUGAAAUUUCUCAAACCAACUAGUGGCUAUUACUUGAACCAAAAAUAAUAAAAAUUCAAGUCAAGAAAUUCAAGCUCUUGGUUUCCGUUCAUAGCAGCAUGCGGAUAACAGUGGCACUCGGGUAUAUGCUGCUUCUCUACUUCGGAUACCACUUUGUGUAUACACGUAGACGCCCGAAAAUCCUAAAAAUAUGAAACGAGUCAACUAACUGCUGGCGCUGUAUUUAUAUACUUCACACCGAUAUUCUAAUAGUAUUAGUUUAUUAAGUGAACAAUUAAUUUAUUCAUAUAAAAAUAUUGUUUUGAAUUGAAGUGUUCAGUAAAAAUGUGAAUUAUUGUAGUUAUUAGUCAUAAUAUUUGGUGUUUUUCUCCUGAUUCAAGUUAAGUUCAAUGAUGUGGUUUCAAUCGCAAAAAAUAUGGUAUCGUGCAGUUAAUGGUGUCAAUGAAGCCAGGAUAAAUGGCAAAACCUUCCAUUUCUUUUUGUAAACAAAAAAAAUUUUUAAUUGUAAUGAAAGAUCACAAUAUAUUUUUAUGAUUAAUUGUAUGUAUCCUGAGAAUUGAAUUUUUAAUAAAAGAAAUUAAUUUAAAAUUGAACUGAUUUCAUAUAUUUUAAAUAAAAGUAUUUUUUAAUUUACAUUAAUGUGAUUUAACUUUAAAAUGAAUUUUUUAAUUUUUUUAAUCAAAAAUUGAUAGUUUAAAAACUCGAUGUAUUGAAAUGAAUCGAUAUCGACUACAUUCGAGAGAACGAUGUUUUUAGAAGGAGUUAGUAUCUUCCGAAACCAAGAGCUUGAUUUUCUUGAGCCAACUAAGUUGUUUUCUUAUUCGAAGAAACAAAAAACAUUUAAAGCAAAAAUUUAUAUUUUUAAAUCAAGAUUGAAUUUCUCAAUUUGAGAGCUUUAUAUAUUUUAAUUAGAAAAAUAAAUUUUUUCGAACAAGAAAAUAGGAUAUUCUAAUUUAAGAAUUUAUAUUUGGAAACGACUAUUUUCUUCAUUCAAGGAUUCCUUUUUUUCUAUGUAUAAUAACUAAACUUCAAAUAUAUAUUUAUUGCUGGGUUCAAAACAUACACCUAAAUUUAGUAAUAAAUAUAUUCUUCUACAUUCUCACAACAGUUAAAUGAUCUCAACAAUAAAAUUAUUGUUUUGAGUUACUCAUCAAAGUAUGUUAAAAUAUGUAAGUGUGAAUUAAAUUGACACAGUUCUUUCCCAAAA
This is a long non-coding RNA of Microplitis mediator, 1877 nucleotides long. RefSeq lists it as uncharacterized. The record is from RefSeq and is a predicted model, not a curated record. The transcript has 3 exons. Lineage: Eukaryota; Metazoa; Arthropoda; Insecta; Hymenoptera; Braconidae.